UGCAAGUCGAGCGGGCGUAGCAAUACGUCAGCGGCAGACGGGUGAGUAACGCGUGGGAACGUACCUUUUGGUUCGGAACAACACAGGGAAACUUGUGCUAAUACCGGAUAAGCCCUUACGGGGAAAGAUUUAUCGCCGAAAGAUCGGCCCGCGUCUGAUUAGCUAGUUGGUAGGGUAACGGCCUACCAAGGCGACGAUCAGUAGCUGGUCUGAGAGGAUGAUCAGCCACAUUGGGACUGAGACACGGCCCAAACUCCUACGGGAGGCAGCAGUGGGGAAUAUUGGACAAUGGGGGCAACCCUGAUCCAGCCAUGCCGCGUGAGUGAUGAAGGCCCUAGGGUUGUAAAGCUCUUUUGUGCGGGAAGAUAAUGACGGUACCGCAAGAAUAAGCCCCGGCUAACUUCGUGCCAGCAGCCGCGGUAAUACGAAGGGGGCUAGCGUUGCUCGGAAUCACUGGGCGUAAAGGGUGCGUAGGCGGGUUUUUAAGUCAGGGGUGAAAUCCUGGAGCUCAACUCCAGAACUGCCUUUGAUACUGAAGAUCUUGAGUCCGGGAGAGGUGAGUGGAACUGCGAGUGUAGAGGUGAAAUUCGUAGAUAUUCGCAAGAACACCAGUGGCGAAGGCGGCUCACUGGCCCGGUACUGACGCUGAGGCACGAAAGCGUGGGGAGCAAACAGGAUUAGAUACCCUGGUAGUCCACGCCGUAAACGAUGAAUGCCAGCCGUUAGUGGGUUUACUCACUAGUGGCGCAGCUAACGCUUUAAGCAUUCCGCCUGGGGAGUACGGUCGCAAGAUUAAAACUCAAAGGAUUUGACGGGGGCCCGCACAAGCGGUGGAGCAUGUGGUUUAAUUCGACGCAACGCGCAGAACCUUACCAGCCCUU
This 881-nucleotide ribosomal RNA is filed under the name Bradyrhizobium sp. RNAcentral describes it as "bacterial SSU rRNA". It matches the Rfam family "Bacterial small subunit ribosomal RNA", at positions 56 to 982 of the family's 1533-position model. The record is from RNAcentral. Lineage: Bacteria; Pseudomonadati; Pseudomonadota; Alphaproteobacteria; Hyphomicrobiales; Nitrobacteraceae.